AUACUUACCUUAAGAUGCCAGGGGAGAUCAAGAAGUCCUACUGGCCAAGUAUGCAUCUUCAAUUGAGGGAUGCUAUGCGGUUUUCUUCAUAGAUCAAUUGACGUAAGCUUCCUCGACGAUUGCACAUACAUGCGAAGAGUGUACUUGCUGACGUUCCGUUUCCUCGUUCUGGCAAUAUGUGGGAUUCUUAUCCUGUGUUUUGUUAGGGCCCUUUUUUCCUUCUGCCUGGAGAAGUAUGACACUGAGUACAAUCAGUGUUGGGGGAGCUGGGAUUACUCAAGAGAGUUUUAUCGGAAAGUUGUUCUCUCGAAAGGACUAUUACAAUAGUUGUGACUCGUGAUGACUGUUGAUUCCCUGGGAUUAAGUUUCUGGGAGAAGGUUGAAUGGUUUAUAAUAUGAGUUGUGAUGUAAUAGGCCGUUUGAAGAACAUGAUUCGAAAGAAUCGAAACUUUUGGUUAAGACGUGUUUCACCUCGGUGAAAUAAAAUCGUUGAGCGAUCUUGGUAGGAACGGGUGGGUCUUUUAAUUUUUGAUUUAUUUC
This 540-nucleotide small nuclear RNA is filed under the name Torulaspora delbrueckii CBS 1146. RNAcentral's name for it is "Yeast U1 spliceosomal RNA". It matches the Rfam family "Yeast U1 spliceosomal RNA". From Rfam's summary of the family: U1 is a small nuclear RNA (snRNA) component of the spliceosome (involved in pre-mRNA splicing). Lineage: Eukaryota; Fungi; Ascomycota; Saccharomycetes; Saccharomycetales; Saccharomycetaceae. The record is from Rfam by way of RNAcentral.